UUUUGGGAUAGGCUGAGCUUUGGGCCCAGAUUAUUUUCUUGGUCUGUAAAUGGAAGAUUACCUGUAAAUUGUCCAGGAUGAUUCGGAGGGAGUGCACCUGUCGCCGAACAGCACCUGAAAACCUUUCGAACUGCAUCUUUCUCGGCCUGAGAGACCUGGUACACUGUGUGGCCUGCAUCCAGCCGGUAAGGACCUCCUUUGCCACCCAGACCCGCCGUGUCUCUUCCCCCUGGAAGGAGAGCAUGGAAAGCCAGAUGGCUGUCAAGGCCAAGAGGCGCAGACCAUCCUAAGGGAAGGUGAAGUACAGAGCUCCGACAAGCCCAGACAGUGCGCACACAGUCUGGCCCUAUUCCUGUGGCACAGCAGAUGUGUCUGCUCCAGCUGACUGCGGAGGAAAAAGGAAGACGACAGUCCUGGGAACAAUGCUCUAGUCGGGCAGCCAAGAGGAAGGAAUGGACCACGGCCAUCAGUUCAAACUGCAACUAGCUCUCUUAUCUCGAAAUCUUGCAUCCUUAACAUACUCACUGAGAUGUGGAAGACAAGGACCAUUUCUUUUCAAAGUCAGUUGCUCAAGAAAGAAUUUACUGUGGAUUUCUGGCACAAUCCCAAGGUCAUGGAAUUUAA
This is a long non-coding RNA of Lemur catta (Ring-tailed lemur), 624 nucleotides long. RefSeq lists it as uncharacterized. The record is from RefSeq and is a predicted model, not a curated record. The transcript is spliced from 3 exons. NCBI's taxonomy places the organism in Eukaryota, Metazoa, Chordata, Mammalia, Primates, Lemuridae.